AGAACGAACGCUGGCGGCACGCCUAACACAUGCAAGUCGAGCGCCCAGCAAUGGGAGCGGCGGACGGGUGAGUAACACGUGGGAAUAUGCCUUUCGGUACGGAACAACUCAGGGAAACUUGAGCUAAUGCCGUAUACGCCCUUACGGGGAAAGAUUUAUCGCCGAAAGAUUAGCCCGCGUCUGAUUAGCUAGUUGGUGAGGUAAUGGCUCACCAAGGCUUCGAUCAGUAGCUGGUUUGAGAGAACGACCAGCCACACUGGGACUGAGACACGGCCCAGACUCCUACGGGAGGCAGCAGUGGGGAAUCUUGGACAAUGGGGGAAACCCUGAUCCAGCGAUGCCGCGUGAGUGAUGACGGCCUUAGGGUUGUAAAGCUCUUUCGCUAGGGACGAUAAUGACGGUACCUAGACAAGAAGCCCCGGCUAACUUCGUGCCAGCAGCCGC
Molecule: ribosomal RNA, 444 nt
Filed under: uncultured bacterium
Lineage: Bacteria
Description: SSU rRNA
Rfam family: Bacterial small subunit ribosomal RNA
Source: RNAcentral